Sarcophilus harrisii (Tasmanian devil) is the source of this 738-nucleotide long non-coding RNA. RefSeq lists it as uncharacterized. Lineage: Eukaryota; Metazoa; Chordata; Mammalia; Dasyuromorphia; Dasyuridae. The record is from RefSeq and is a predicted model, not a curated record. The transcript has 2 exons.
GUCAUCUUCCCGGGGGGGGGCCCAGCUCAGCUUCCAGCCUCCUCCCAAACCUCUCCCACUCGCCCCUCCAAGGCCUCCGAUAUGGGGAAGGGCUCCUAACCCCGGGACCCGCACAUUGGGAAAGGAAUAAGGAAAGACAGAUGGCGGCCCCCAGAAGCCUGGGCCCGACGGCCGCCGCGCUCCUUGUCCUGCCAUCCGAGGUGACUCCAGCCGGGCCCGACUCGCUUCUGAGUUGGAUUUAGGGGCCGAAGCUGCGCGAAGUCACCGGCCUCGCUCCCCUCCAGCAACAUCGGCUGCCCGAGCCCAGAAGGGGGAAGGAGGCCCCCCAGCAUCGCCUGGGAAGCCCGGGGUCGGAGGGAGGGACGAAGGCCUGAGAAAUGGGACCAUUGUUAGGCCCUACUCGGAGUCAUUUGCUGCGGCUGCUGCCUUCCCGCCCCCCACAGCUCAGCUCCCUCGCGGGCCGGGGCCGGUCUCCUUCCCAGCAGCCUCCUGGAGCCAGCGCCUCUGCUCCCUUUCCUUCAGGCCCCGUCGCGUCACCCACGCUGGCAGCGCUCGGCAGGGGCUGAAGGGCAACCUCUCUACAACUCAAAGGGGGGGUUCUAAGACGGGGCUUGGUGUCCAACACUAGUGAGAAGCUCCCGCUCAGGGCUCGCAGAGCAUCUAAUGAGACCCGGGGGGGGUCGAGCCCCUGCCCAUGACCCUCCCUUGUCCCUCUUCUCCUCAGUCUUCCAAGAUCUA